Long non-coding RNA from Asparagus officinalis (garden asparagus), 613 nucleotides. RefSeq lists it as uncharacterized. Lineage: Eukaryota; Viridiplantae; Streptophyta; Magnoliopsida; Asparagales; Asparagaceae. The transcript is spliced from 3 exons. The record is from RefSeq and is a predicted model, not a curated record.
CCCCGGGGUAUAGAUGAGAGAGAAUUAGUAUCAGCAAUAGAUGAAGUUCAAACUCUUGCAAAUCGUGGCUUGGAAUUGGCUCGAGCAGGUAGAAAUCCCGAAACACAUGAACAUGUAUCAAUAUAUCAGGCUAUAAUGCAGAGGCUUCAACAAGCCUUACACCGAACUCACGAAGAUCGUCAUGAUGGACGGGAGGUAACGCCAUUCGUAUAUACACGACAACAGCGACAAAGUCGAGGACGACGCAGAAAUGACGAUGAAGCUGGACCUUCCCAACGUGUUGACGAUGGAGCUGGACCGUCACAACCACAAACGCAACCGGAUCACGAACUCGUCGAAGGGCGGUAUGGAGGACGACGAAGCCAAAGGAGGAGGAGGAGAGUUCUUGGAUGUAUGUAAACUACAGGUUAUAUACAUUACAAAACUAUUUAGGGAUGUGGUUUUUGGAUUUGUAGUCGAUAAUAUCGUGUGAUAUGUUUGAUUUCUAAGUGGGUUUGUGGUGUUAUUAUGUUGGAUUUGUUAGUGGGAGUUUGUGGUGUGAUGUGAUUUGUUUGAUUUGAAAUGAGUAUGUGGUGAAAUCAGUAUGUAAUUUGUUAGUGGGAGUUUGUGUGGA